UUUUUGGGGUUUUUUUUUUUUUUUUUUUGAUAAAUUUGGGUUUGUUCUCAUCAAAUCCUUCUAUUGGAUCAGCAAGAGAUGCAAAUUAGUCACCAAAAUAUGUGGGAAAUCCUAAGUAGGAUCUGGCAAAUAGUCAAGGAAGCCGGAAUUUUUUGGUUUUGGUGUUUAGCAACUUAAGAGAUGAAGAAAAAAGGGCUCGGAUUUGGGGUCUUUUGAGGGUGUUUUUGUGAAAGAAAAUUAGACAAAAUGAAACUAAACUAAAGAGGAAGUUAAAGGGAAGAUCAUGGAGAGUUUGGGCUAAAUACUCGUGGUCAAAAAAGGAAGGAAAAUGAAACAAAACAAUGGCGGCUGGAGUAGACGAAAAACAAAUGAAGCUUGGGAUUUUUGACUAAUCCGUAUACUUAGAGGUUAAAUCGAGGCUCCACGUUCGAAGGAAACCAUGGAGAAUUUGAUCGAUUCCAGGAGUUCUAGUGCGAUUCAGACAUUUAAACAUUGAGGUAGCGAUCAAGUUCUUGGUGCCCGUUGAGCCAUCAAACGCCACUAGUGUUGUUGGAUAUUUGUUGUAUUGUUGUGCAUGUAUUUGAGAGUAUUCUAGGAUAGUUAAAACUUGUGAGUUACAUAUCAUGGGAGGUUUUGUUAAAAAUAAUCCUUACUGUUGGCCUGUAAAUCUUUUUUAAACAGUGUUGUGAUUUAAAAUGAGUUGAGUUCUUAAACACUAUUAAUAAAUGUAAACUAUUUUUGAA
This is a long non-coding RNA of Benincasa hispida (wax gourd), 743 nucleotides long. RefSeq lists it as uncharacterized. NCBI's taxonomy places the organism in Eukaryota, Viridiplantae, Streptophyta, Magnoliopsida, Cucurbitales, Cucurbitaceae. The record is from RefSeq and is a predicted model, not a curated record.